GUGCCAGCAGCCGCGGUAAUACGGAAGGUCCGGGCGUUAUCCGGAUUUAUUGGGUUUAAAGGGAGCGUAGGCUGGAGAUUAAGCGUGUUGUGAAAUGCCGCGGCUCAACCGUGGCACUGCAGCGCGAACUGGUUUCCUUGAGUGCGCUGAAAGUGGGCGGAAUUUGUGGUGUAGCGGUGAAGUGCUUAGAUAUCACGAAGAACUCCGAUUGCGAAGGCAGCUCACUGUAUCGCGACUGACGCUGAAGCUCGAAAGUGCGGGUAUCGAACAGGAUUAGAUACCCUGGUAGUCCGCACGGUAAACGAUGGAUGCCCGCUGUUCGGCCUUUGGGCUGAGUGGCCAAGCGAAAGCGUUAAGCAUCCCACCUGGGGAGUACGCCGGCAACGGUGAA
Molecule: ribosomal RNA, 391 nt
Filed under: uncultured bacterium
Lineage: Bacteria
Description: bacterial SSU rRNA
Rfam family: Bacterial small subunit ribosomal RNA
Source: RNAcentral